GGUUGCGAUCAUACCAGCACUAAUGCAACGGAUCCCGUCAGAACUCCGCAGUUAAGCGUGCUUGGGCGAGAGUAGUACUAGGAUGGGUGACCCCCUGGGAAGUCCUUUUGUUGCAACCC
RNAcentral lists this ribosomal RNA (119 nucleotides) under Helianthus annuus (common sunflower). Lineage: Eukaryota; Viridiplantae; Streptophyta; Magnoliopsida; Asterales; Asteraceae. The record is from RNAcentral.